This 469-nucleotide unclassified non-coding RNA is filed under the name plant metagenome. RNAcentral's name for it is "partial contains 5.8S ribosomal RNA and internal transcribed spacer 2". The stretch from base 1 to 105 matches the Rfam family "5.8S ribosomal RNA", at positions 50 to 154 of the family's 154-position model. The record is from RNAcentral.
GAAAUGCGAUACGUAAUGCGAAUUGCAGAAUUCAGUGAAUCAUCAAAUCUUUGAACGCAAAUUGCGCUCCCGGGUAGCCCUAGGAGCACGCCUCUCUCAGUAUCGGUUUCACCCCUCUCAGCAGCGUGCGUCGUGUUUCGAUGCGUCGUGCGUGUUGGCUGGAGAAUGGGCGUCUGACUGUAUGGUCAGUCGCCUCAAGUCUAUGGAGGACAUCGCCUCAGCGCGAAGACCCGCCGAGCCCUGUGCUCGGGCAUCAGUCUCGGACUGUUGCGUCGGGAGUGACGUGAAGACUGGCCCCAUGCGGGUCUCCUCAUUUACGUGUAUCUCUUGGCGCGCCAAACAGACUAGGAUAGAUGUGCGCUUCGACGCGAACGAUGCUCCGGUGCGUGGCCCAGCCACAAGCGGUCGUACUCACCUGCGACCUGAAUUUUGAUCUGAGAUGAAGCGAGACAACCCCCUGAAGUUAAGC